This 406-nucleotide ribosomal RNA is filed under the name uncultured bacterium. RNAcentral describes it as "partial 16S ribosomal RNA". It matches the Rfam family "Bacterial small subunit ribosomal RNA", at positions 30 to 526 of the family's 1533-position model. The record is from RNAcentral.
AUUGAACGCUGGCGGCAGGCCUAACACAUGCAAGUCGAGCGAGCGGCGGACGGGAGAGUAAUGUAUGGGCAUCUGCCUGAUGGCGGGGGAUAACUACUGGAAACGGUAGCUAAUACCGCAUACCAUCAGAUGAACCCAUAUGGGAUUAGCUUGUAGGUGAGGUAACGGCUCACCUAGGCGACGAUCCCUAGCUGGUCCGAGAGGAUGAUAAGCCACACUGGGACUGAGACACGGCCAAGACUCAUACGGGAGGCAGCAGUGGGGAAUAUUACACAAUGGGCGCAAGCCUGAUACAGACAGGCCGCGUGAAUGAAGAAGGCCUUCGGGUUGUAAAGUACUUUCAGUGGGGAGGCGUUACCGAAAGAGAAAGCAACGGCUAACUCCGUGCCAGCAGCCGCGGUAAUAC